RNAcentral lists this ribosomal RNA (475 nucleotides) under uncultured bacterium. RNAcentral describes it as "bacterial LSU rRNA". It matches the Rfam family "Bacterial large subunit ribosomal RNA", at positions 365 to 835 of the family's 2925-position model. The record is from RNAcentral.
UGACAGUCCCGUAUUCGAAAAUCGAAGCAGACCUAGUGGUAUCCUGAGUAGCACGGGACACGUGAAACCCCGUGUGAAUCCAUGCCGACCACGGCAUAAGGCUAAAUACUCGAUGACGACCGACAGUGAACUAGUACCGCGAGGGAAAAGGUGAAAAAGCACCCCUGUUAGGGGAGUGAAAUAGUAACUGAAAUCAUCUGCUAACAAGUCAGUCGGAGCCCUCUUGUGGGGUGACGGCCUGCCUUUUGUAUAAUGAGUCUGCGAGUUAUUGUCGGUAGCAAGCCUAAGCCGCUCAGCGGCGCAGGCGCAGCGAAAGCGAGUCCGAACAGGGCGCUUAUUUGUCGGCAAUAGACCCGAAGGGGAGGUGAUCUAACCAUGGCCAGGAUGAAACUUCGGUAACACGAAGUGGAGGUUCGAACCGGUCAACCUUGAGAAGUUGUCGGAUGAGCUGUGGUUAGGAGCGAAAGACUAAUCA